Molecule: ribosomal RNA, 209 nt
Filed under: uncultured bacterium
Lineage: Bacteria
Description: partial 16S ribosomal RNA
Rfam family: Bacterial small subunit ribosomal RNA
Source: RNAcentral
UACGUAGGGGGCAAGCGUUGUCCGGAUUUAUUGGGCGUAAAGAGCGUGUAGGCGGCUGGGUAGGUCCGUUGUGAAAACUCGAGCUCAACCUCGAGACGCCGAUGGAAACCCUCCAGCUAGAGUCCGGAAGAGGAGAGUGGAAUUCCUGGUGUAGCGGUGAAAUGCGCAGAUAUCAGGAAGAACACCCGUGGCUAAGGCGGCUCUCUAGU